Molecule: unclassified non-coding RNA, 860 nt
Filed under: Hevea brasiliensis (rubber tree)
Lineage: Eukaryota; Viridiplantae; Streptophyta; Magnoliopsida; Malpighiales; Euphorbiaceae
Source: RNAcentral
GGUACUUAUAUGGCGCGGUUUCACUCUGAGAGAAUUUGCAAGCCAGUGCUUCGGAAACAAAUAUGAUUAUUGUAAAGGAAGGCAGAUGCCUGUCCAUUAUGGGUCUAAGAGACACAAUUACUUCACUGUAGCAUCAACAAUCGCUUCUCAAAUUCCCCAUGCCGUUGGUGCUGCAUAUUCAAUGAAGAUGGAUAAGAGAGAUGCUUGUGCAGUCACUUAUUUUGGUGAUGGAGGAACAAGUGAGGGAGAUUUCCACGCAGCUUUAAAUUUUGCAGCAGUUUUGGAGGCGCCUGUUCUUUUUAUUUGCCGGAACAAUGGAUGGGCGAUCAGUACUCCUAUUUCAGACCAGUUUCGAAGUGAUGGGGUGGUUGUAAAAGGUCGUGCUUAUGGAGUUCGCAGCAUCCGUGUAGAUGGCAAUGAUGCACUUGCAGUAUAUAAUGCAGUUCGAGCUGCUCGAAAAAUGGCAAUUCAAGAACAUAGGCCAAUUUUAAUCGAGGCUCUCACAUACAGAGCUGGACACCACACGACAUCAGACGAUUCAACCAGGUAUCGUCCAGCGGAGGAAAUGGAAUGGUGGAGGGUUGCAAAGGACCCUGUCUCUAGAUUUAGGAAAUGGAUUGAAAGCAAUGGUUGGUGGAAUAAUGAGGCUGAAGCAGAGCUUAGAAGUAGCUUAAGAAAACAGCUUUUAGAGGAAAUUCAGUUGGCAGAGAGGUCUGAGAAGCCCCCUGUGGCAGAUGCUUUCACAGAUGUGUAUGAUGUUCCUCCAUCCAAUCUCCAAGAGCAAGAGAAAUGGUUAAGAAAAACAAUCAAAACACACCCACAAGAUUACCCAUCUAAUUUUCCACUGUAAUCAUCUGUCA